Eptesicus fuscus (big brown bat) is the source of this 81-nucleotide non-coding RNA. The record is from Rfam. NCBI's taxonomy places the organism in Eukaryota, Metazoa, Chordata, Mammalia, Chiroptera, Vespertilionidae.
AGACCUGAAGAGAGAGGCAGGGUCUGAUCCUCAGCUUCUGUGGCAGCUGUUGAUCAGCUGUUGCCUCUCUCUUUCUCUCCA